Molecule: transfer RNA, 65 nt
Filed under: Trissolcus basalis
Lineage: Eukaryota; Metazoa; Arthropoda; Insecta; Hymenoptera; Scelionidae
Description: tRNA-His
Source: RNAcentral
AUUUAAAUAGKUUAAUAAAAAUUUUAAUUUGUGGAAUUAAAGAUAUAAUAGAUUUAUUUUAAAUA